Molecule: transfer RNA, 81 nt
Filed under: Radix sp. MOTU3
Lineage: Eukaryota; Metazoa; Mollusca; Gastropoda; Lymnaeidae
Description: tRNA-Asp
Source: RNAcentral
AAUAUUUUAUCUAGUUUAAAAAAAAUAAUAGUUUGUCAAAUUAUUGAUGCUUUUUUGCGAUUAACAAAUAGCUUAUUUAUU